This 351-nucleotide long non-coding RNA is filed under the name Citrus x clementina. Its description in RNAcentral is "Citrus clementina (C. clementina) long non-coding RNA (CCLE_LNC001304)". The record is from RNAcentral. Lineage: Eukaryota; Viridiplantae; Streptophyta; Magnoliopsida; Sapindales; Rutaceae.
UUAAUAUAAAAUAAUAAAAUCCGCACUAUACAAUUCUAAUGCAAUAUAACUUAAUACAAUGUAAUAUAAUUCAGUGUAUCAAAAACACUCUCGAGUGCUUGUGAUUUGUAAUGAUCAAUAAUGGCACCAACGAUGCGCUAAAUAGUAAAUACUAAGGGUGUGUUUGGUUGUAGUAUUAAGGGGGUAUUAUAACACUGUUCACAUUAACAUAAUACCAAACCUAUGUUUGGAAUAAAAUUACAAGGGAUUAGGGUGGAAGGCUAAUGCGUCAACUGAUGCAUUAGCUUUGUUUUUUAUUUUUUUAUUUUGCUUUUAACUUUUGCUUUUUGCUUUAUUAUUAUUAUUAUUAUA